Long non-coding RNA from Cydia pomonella (codling moth), 2293 nucleotides. RefSeq lists it as uncharacterized. The transcript has 2 exons. The record is from RefSeq and is a predicted model, not a curated record. Lineage: Eukaryota; Metazoa; Arthropoda; Insecta; Lepidoptera; Tortricidae.
GUUUUACAAACGCAAACGAACCCCAUUACAAAAGGCGACAAAGUUACUGGAUCAAUUGAUAAAUAAAUGAGGAAUAAAUGAGUUUACUCCAUUCUGGCUACUGUACAUUAAAUACCCCGCCAUAGAAAGCGUGUACGAUCCGAUCGGCAAUUAAAGGCACACGUCGAGAUGUUCUUGCCCGCUAUUGUUCCAUCGGUUAAUUACGGGCGAAAGUGUAGCGCGAAAGUGCAUUGUUAGGGUUUUUAGUAUUGAUGACACAUAAGGAGAACGACCCCUAAUAAUUGCCUAGUUCUUGUAACGAUGCGAAUCUUUGGUUACCUUCAAUGGUAUGGCAACCCUAUACAUAUACCACAUAAUGGAUUUAGAGGGAGAGACUGUUUUUGUUUUCUCAAACAUGCAAUGAAAUAUGAUAAGUAAAAAAAAAACAGUUAGUUUACCCUCUGGGUUUGAAGGUCAGAUGGCAGUCGCUUUCGUAAAAACUAGUGCCUACGCCAAUUCUCGGGAUUAGUUGCUAAGCGGACCCUGGCGCAUGAGCUGUGGCAAAAUGCCGGGACAACGCGAGGUAGAAGAAGAAGUAAAUAAGAACAGUUAUACAGAAAAAAGAUGCAGCAUAAAGACAUAUUUCCUUCUUUAUUAUUUGCCAACGAUAGUAUAUUGCAUAUACCUAUUGCAUUGUUGCAUCAACAAGAUAAGUUUAGCCCACGAAUGACGUAUAUUUCGGUACCUGCAUAAAAGAUAACCGCAGAAACGCAGACGGCUACUGCAAUGCGUUGGAUUUGGCAAGCGACUCUGAUAGUGAUAGCGGAACGUCGUGUAUCAAAAGAAAACAACGGUUGAAGUUUACUUAUCAAAAUUCUGUAUAUUUAACUUUUGUUCUCGUAUUUUCAUAUUAUUUUAUUGACCUAGACCGUAAAUGUAAACUUUUCCGGUAAAUAUGAGUCUAAGAUUCACCGGAAAAGUUCACCUUUAAAGUUCAUAUAGACACACACAAACUACUAAUUUUUACGAGAGACUAAAAUACACCGACGGCCGCUUUGUUUAGAAUCUCACACAAAGUGGCCCAUUUUAAUGUCACGUGAGUAUAUCAUACAAUAAUAAACAAAUUCUUACUGAUUCUUCUUCUUUAAAUGUCCAGAUGUGUAAAGCUUAAUUCCAAUCACAGUGAACAAGCCAGCUUUCUAAUUAAGAAGACGGUUUCCUUUUCCCACAAUUAGUAAAUAAACAAGUCGUUUUGUUUAUCUCUCGUAUGGCGCCGUUAAUUUUAUCUGAUCCAUGAAAGUCGCGUUUUGGUGAUCCAAGUUUGAGGGAAAAUCUGUAGAAACUCAAAUAAAUUGAAGAGCUGGGACUCGUUGGGUAAACUGGCCUGAAUCAUACUGAAGUAGCAAAGACUGACUAGUGAUAAAAACUGAACAAGUCUGUCACGUUUUGUAACAUGAGGUCGUUUGCCGGCUUUGCCGCUCAGUCCAAAAUUAUCGAAAGAGUAAAUCAUUUCUCUGUUCUCAGUAUUUUGAUUUUUAUAUUAAUUGAUUUUUUUUAAAUAAGCAUUAUUUAUGUUUUAAUUUCUAACCGCCUGUAAAACGAUGUUCCAUUAAAAUUGACAAGCCAAAAUUGCAUUUCUUGGUAAGCUUUGUUUUGUGCGCGGGUUAAUUAAAUAUUAAAUCGGCUUAAUAAAAUAAUUUAAAAAAAUAUAUGUUCAACUUAUUGACUUGAACGUAAUAUAGUGACAUAGAUCUUCUUCUUCCUCGCGUUGUCCCGGCAUUUUGCCACGGCUCAUGGGAGCCUGGGGUCCGCUUGGCAACUAAUCCCAAGAUUUGGGGUAGGCACUAAUUUUUACGAAAGCGACUGCCAUCUGCCCUUCCAACCCAGAGGGUAAACUAGGCCUUGUUGGGAUUAGUCCGGUUUCCUCACGAUGUUUCCUUCACCGAAAAGCGGCUGGUAAAUAUCAAAUGAUAUUUCGUACAUAAGUUCCGAAAAACUCAUUGGUACGAGCCGGGGUUUGAACCCGCGACCUCCGGAUUGCAAGUCGCACGCUCUUACCGCUAGGCCACCAGCGCUCCGUAUAUAUAGUGACAUAGAUAAAUGGUUAAAAGCUAAGCCGUUAGAAGCAAAUAAUAAAAUAAAUAUUAAUGACCAUGUUAUUAACCGCUUUUAAUUAUUACAAACGAGCCGACUCAUAUUCGCAAAUCACGCCGCAUCACCAAAACUUUCUCAUACUGCAAACGCUUUCUUCCAGUUCGAUAUUUUCUAUUAAUUUCACCCAGUUGUAUAACUGAUGUCCGAUCAUCUUAGUACA